UACGGAGGGUGCGAGCGUUAAUCGGAAUUACUGGGCGUAAAGGGCACGCAGGCGGUCUUUUAAGUGAGAUGUGAAAUCCCCGGGCUCAACCUGGGAAUAGCAUUUCAGACUGGGAGUCUAGAGUACUUUAGGGAGGGGUAGAAUUCCACGUGUAGCGGUGAAAUGCGUAGAGAUGUGGAGGAAUACCGAUGGCGAAGGCAGCCCCCUGGGAAUCUACUGACGCUCAUGUGCGAAAGCGUGGGUAGCAAACAGG
Molecule: ribosomal RNA, 253 nt
Filed under: uncultured bacterium
Lineage: Bacteria
Description: partial 16S ribosomal RNA
Rfam family: Bacterial small subunit ribosomal RNA
Source: RNAcentral